Aethalodelphis obliquidens (Pacific white-sided dolphin) is the source of this 2347-nucleotide long non-coding RNA. RefSeq lists it as uncharacterized. The transcript is spliced from 3 exons. Lineage: Eukaryota; Metazoa; Chordata; Mammalia; Artiodactyla; Delphinidae. The record is from RefSeq and is a predicted model, not a curated record.
UCAUUACUUUUGCUUUGAACUCUUUAUCAGAUAAAUUAUUUAUCUCUGCUUCAUUAAGGUUUUUUCAGGGGGUUUUUAUUUCUUUUUCUUUUCUUUGUCUUCUCAUUCUGUUUAACUUUGUCUGUAUGAAAUUAGGUGAAACAGUUACCUAUCUGGUCUUGAAGGUGUGCCCUGUGUGUGAGUGUCCCUGUGCGGUUUGCACGUGUCCAGUGGCUUUGGUGGAAGAGCUGGCUUUGAAGUGAGCAGGGCUGCAUAUGUCGCGAUGGUGUGCUGGCAGUGUUUGCCACGUAGGAGGUAAGGCUGGGGUUGGAAGGAGUAAAGCCAGAACUACGUGCAAGCCAGGGCUUCUGCUGUGCUCAGUGGUCAUCACAGCCCUCUCAGGUGUGAGGCCAGGAGCAGGUGCCCUGAGGGAGUUAGGUUUUUCCUGGGGGUGAAUGGUAGUCUCCACCUUGAUUUGGGAUGCGGCUGAGGCCUGAGGGCUUAGGGCUGCACUUCUGUGCUGGUUUCCCUUUUUCCCUGGUGUGCAAGCCUUGGUUGGAGGCUGGGUUGGGGCCUGAGGAGUUGCUGCCUCACCACUGGGCUGGCCCCAUCCUCUCCCAAGUGUGCACAGGGAAGGGAGCUUUGGAGAACGUGGUCUCUGCCUGGGAGCUAGUUUCACUCCCAAGUGUGUGCACCAAAACGCAUGCUAGCAAUGGCUGCCUCAGCCCUGGCCAGAGGCAUGGGCGGGGUCUGAGUUGCCUCUGCUCCCUCCAAUAAUACCCAUUCUCAUUGGAAACAGCGACCUCCGCCUUCGUGGGGAGCAAUGCCAGAGCGAGAGGGGCUGGGGCAGGAGCCUGGUGUGAGCUGUGCGGCGUGCACUGGGGGGGUCCUGGCAGGCAGGCCAGAGCCCCAGGCAGUUUCCAAUCUGCUGCGUCCGUGCUGUGCGUGUGUUCAGGAGGCCUGGUUUCUUACAGCACUCCGAUGUACAUAGUCUGAAAAGGCCUCAAUGAAAAUUAAAUUGUUUUCUGUACGGAACGAAUGCCAAUCGGACUUCAAAAUGAAGAUGCAAAAAGAAACAAGAGACAAAUUAAUACCAAUCACCUGAAUAUCAUAAACAAGUGAAGAUGGUAUUUUUUGUGUGCCUAGCAUAUGUGAGAUGCUGUUCUAGUCACUAGUGGUACAACAGUGAAUAAAACAGAAAAAUAAUCCUCACUUGUAUGUAGCACACAGUGAGGAAGAAUGAAAAAGGUAAAUAUAAUUAUGGCACGUUAGAAUCUGAUAAUGCCAAGCAAGAAAACCAAGGAGAUACCAGGAAAAGUUGGAGUAUAAAUUAAGGGUUGAAGUGCUGGAAAGACCAUAACAGAAAAACAGGGUGCAACACACUCUUUUUAAGUAUUUUAGACAGGAAGCUUCUGGCUAGGCUUUUACAUAGUGUCUGACGUGACCUGUGGGCAUUUGGCUGAAGGUGCAGAAUUCCAAAUGGAGAAGACACUAUCGGUGCUUCCAGCUGUCUGCCGGAGAGCUACCUUCAUGUCCUGCCGGCACUUUGAACUCCAAAAGUUUAAAUCAGCUUUCACCCCAGCCUACUCUUGCAUUUCAAGGCUCUGCUAAUCAUGCAGUUGUCUGAGAUGGACACAUCAGAGUCUCCCCGGCUUCUUUUUCUUAUUUCUUAUUUCUCUCCACAUCUGUUUAGUUGUCAGGUAGGCCCUCCCAGUCAUGAAUAGUCAUGAAAGGUCCUCAGGGCAGCUUCCUGAGUGUCCCCAUCACCACUUGUACUGGGUGCAGUGUCGGGACUGCACAGGCAGAAACUGGGAAGGCAUUCAUAGUCAGCCCCACUUAAUCCACAAGGGGAACAUGAAUGUAAUACUGAUUUAAGAAGCAGUGCAGGGUAGUCACGAAAUCAAAAUGCACUCUGGCUCAGGCAGGAAGGCCAGAAAGAUCGAAUCCAGUCAGGAUUGUGUCUUGAAGAACUAGUCGUCAGGCUACCAAGAGUUCCAUCCGCAUCCAGUUCUUUCCCGUGCCAGCCGUCCUCACUGGCAUGCCAGGUUGGGUCACUCCUGCGGAUCACUGGAGCUUUCCCUUCAGUGUUUCAAGGAUGCCGUGAGCUGAGACACAACUCACCUUCCCCAGCUCUCCCUAGAUUAUUGUAGCCAUCUCCUGACUGGUCUCCCUGUUGCCACUAUCCCAGCUAUCAAUCCACCUUCCAAAAUCACUAGUUCAGAAUUAUCUUUCUCAACAUGGAAACCGCGUGCUGCUCCUGUGGGGGGUUUCGUUUAUUUGUUUGUUUGUUUUAAGAUGGAUUGAUUGAUUUUAUUUAUUUUUGGCUGCAUCGGGUCUCAGUUGCAGCACGCAGGAUCUUCGUUGAGGC